UGGUUCUGGCAUCGAUGAAGAACGCAGCGAAAUGCGAUAAGUAAUGUGAAUUGCAGAAUUCAGUGAAUCAUCGAGUUUUUGAACGCACAUUGCGCCCCUUGGUAUUCCGAAGGGCAUGCCCGUUCGAGCGUCAUUGCACCAAUCAAGCCUGGCUUGGUGUUGGGCCCCGGGGGUGACCCGGGCCCCAAGUUCACCGGCGGGAGCGUCCCGAUCGCAGCGGUAUGGCAAUCAAAUUCGCUGGUGAGACGGGCGCCCCUUGGCCGUUAACCCCCUCUAAGGUUGACCUCGGAUCGGGUAGGGAUACCCGCUGA
RNAcentral lists this unclassified non-coding RNA (311 nucleotides) under uncultured fungus. RNAcentral describes it as "partial contains 5.8S ribosomal RNA and internal transcribed spacer 2". The stretch from base 1 to 133 matches the Rfam family "5.8S ribosomal RNA", at positions 22 to 154 of the family's 154-position model. The record is from RNAcentral. Lineage: Eukaryota; Fungi.